AUCCUAAGGCCGGCGGGAGAAGUGUUGUUAAGGAACUCGGCAAAAUGACUCCGUAACUUCGGGAGAAGGAGUGCUGCGCAAGCAGCCGCAGAGAAAUGGCCCAAGCAACUGUUUAGCAAAAACACAGGUCUAUGCGAAACCGGAAGGUGAGGUAUAUGGGCUGACGCCUGCCCGGUGCUGGAAGGUUAAGGGGAGAGCUUAGCGCGAGCGAAGGUUUGAACUUAAGCCCCAGUAAACGGCGGCCGUAACUAUAACGGUCCUAAGGUAGCGAAAUUCCUUGUCGGGUAAGUUCCGACCCGCACGAAAGGCGUAAUGAUUUGGGCACUGUCUCAACAACACACCCGGUGAAAUUGAAAUACCAGUGAAGAUGCUGGUUACCCGCGCCAGGACGGAAAGACCCCAUGGAGCUUUACUCCAGCCUGAUACUGGGAUUCGGUAUUGCAUGUACAGGAUAGUUUCUAACCUGCGCCCGUGACCCGGGCGGGGGACAAUGUCAGGCGGGGAGUUUGACUGGGGCGGUCGCCUCCGAAAGGGUAUCGGAGGCGCUCAAAGGUCUCCUCAGGAUGGUUGGAAACCAUCCAGAGAGUGCAAAGGCAGAAGGAGGCUUGACUGCGACACCGACGGGUGGAGCAGGUACGAAAGUAGGACUUAGUGAUCCGGUGGCAUAAAGUGGGAUUGCCAUCGCUCAACGGAUAAAAGCUACCCUGGGGAUAACAGGCUUAUCACUCCCAAGAGUUCACAUCGACGGAGUGGUUUGGCACCUCGAUGUCGGCUCAUCGCAUCCUGGAGCUGGAGCAGGUUCCAAGGGUUGGGCUGUUCGCCCAUUAAAGCGGUACGCGAGCUGGGUUCAGAACGUCGUGAGACAGUUCGGUCCCUAUCCGGCGCGGGCGCAGGAUAUCUGAGAGGAGCUGUCCUUAGUACGAGAGGACCGGGAUGGACCGUCCGCUGGUGGACCGGUUGUCAUGCCAAUGGCACGGCCGGGUAGCCAAGACGGGAAGGGAUAAACGCUGAAGGCAUCUAAGCGUGAAGCCCCCCUCAAGAUGAGAUAUCCAUACUCGAAAGAGUGAGAGACCCCUUAGAGACGAUGAGGUAGAUAGGGCAGAGAUGGAAGCACAGCGAUGUGUGGAGUUGACUGUUACUAAUCGGUC
Molecule: ribosomal RNA, 1148 nt
Filed under: Anaerobutyricum hallii
Lineage: Bacteria; Bacillati; Bacillota; Clostridia; Lachnospirales; Lachnospiraceae
Description: bacterial LSU rRNA
Rfam family: Bacterial large subunit ribosomal RNA
Source: RNAcentral